GGAGAGGUGUGAGAGCGGCUGAAUCAGCAGCACUGGAAAUGCUGUAAACCAGAAAUGGUUUCGGGGGUUCGAAUCCCCCCCUCUCCG
RNAcentral lists this transfer RNA (87 nucleotides) under Burkholderiales bacterium. RNAcentral describes it as "tRNA-Ser". It matches the Rfam family "tRNA". From Rfam's summary of the family: Transfer RNA (tRNA) molecules are approximately 80 nucleotides in length. Their secondary structure includes four short double-helical elements and three loops (D, anti-codon, and T loops). Lineage: Bacteria; Pseudomonadati; Pseudomonadota; Betaproteobacteria; Burkholderiales. RNAcentral also lists the same sequence under 1 other name. The record is from RNAcentral.